This 678-nucleotide ribosomal RNA is filed under the name Acinetobacter calcoaceticus. RNAcentral describes it as "bacterial SSU rRNA". It matches the Rfam family "Bacterial small subunit ribosomal RNA", at positions 58 to 729 of the family's 1533-position model. Lineage: Bacteria; Pseudomonadati; Pseudomonadota; Gammaproteobacteria; Moraxellales; Moraxellaceae. The record is from RNAcentral.
CAAGUCGAGCGGAGUGAUGGUGCUUGCACUAUCACUUAGCGGCGGACGGGUGAGUAAUGCUUAGGAAUCUGCCUAUUAGUGGGGGACAACAUUUCGAAAGGAAUGCUAAUACCGCAUACGUCCUACGGGAGAAAGCAGGGGAUCUUCGGACCUUGCGCUAAUAGAUGAGCCUAAGUCGGAUUAGCUAGUUGGUGGGGUAAAGGCCUACCAAGGCGACGAUCUGUAGCGGGUCUGAGAGGAUGAUCCGCCACACUGGGACUGAGACACGGCCCAGACUCCUACGGGAGGCAGCAGUGGGGAAUAUUGGACAAUGGGCGCAAGCCUGAUCCAGCCAUGCCGCGUGUGUGAAGAAGGCCUUAUGGUUGUAAAGCACUUUAAGCGAGGAGGAGGCUACUGAAGUUAAUACCUUCAGAUAGUGGACGUUACUCGCAGAAUAAGCACCGGCUAACUCUGUGCCAGCAGCCGCGGUAAUACAGAGGGUGCAAGCGUUAAUCGGAUUUACUGGGCGUAAAGCGCGCGUAGGCGGCUAAUUAAGUCAAAUGUGAAAUCCCCGAGCUUAACUUGGGAAUUGCAUUCGAUACUGGUUAGCUAGAGUGUGGGAGAGGAUGGUAGAAUUCCAGGUGUAGCGGUGAAAUGCGUAGAGAUCUGGAGGAAUACCGAUGGCGAAAGGCAGCCAUC